GCAUGGUAAUGGAUUUAUGGCAGGCCUUUCUCUGUCAGCCUGUCAUAGUAUUCCCACACCAGAAUAAACUGCAGCCUCAAACCACUGCUCUGCCUCCUUACCAGUGGACUGUGAGCAACGAUGAGGGAUUGUACAAUU
Molecule: small nucleolar RNA, 138 nt
Organism: Phyllostomus discolor (pale spear-nosed bat)
Lineage: Eukaryota; Metazoa; Chordata; Mammalia; Chiroptera; Phyllostomidae
Product: small nucleolar RNA SNORA42/SNORA80 family
Exons: 1
Source: RefSeq, a predicted model, not a curated record